AUUGAACGCUGGCGGAAUGCUUUACACAUGCAAGUCGGGCGGCAGCACGGGGGCAACCCUGGUGGCGAGCGGCGAACGGGUGAGUAACACAUCGGAACGUACCCUGUCGUGGGGGAUAACGAGUCGAAAGAUUCGCUAAUACCGCAUACGACCCGAGGGUGAAAGCGGGGGAUCGCAAGACCUCGCGCGACUGGAGCGGCCGAUGGCGGAUUAGCUAGUUGGUGGGGUAAAGGCCCACCAAGGCGACGAUCCGUAGCGGGUCUGAGAGGACGGCCCGCCACACUGGGACUGAGACACGGCCCAGACUCCUACGGGAGGCAGCAGUGGGGAAUUUUUGGACAAUGGGGGCAACCCUGAUCCAGCCAUGCCGCGUGAGUGAAGAAGGCCUGCGGGUUGUAAAGCACUUCGUUGGGAAGAAAUUUACUCAGCUAACACCUGAGGAAUUUGACAUUACCUUCAGAAGAAGCACCGGCUAACUCCGUGCCAG
RNAcentral lists this ribosomal RNA (487 nucleotides) under uncultured bacterium. RNAcentral describes it as "bacterial SSU rRNA". It matches the Rfam family "Bacterial small subunit ribosomal RNA", at positions 29 to 511 of the family's 1533-position model. The record is from RNAcentral.